GACGAACGCUGGCGGCGUGCUUAACACAUGCAAGUCGAACGGGAUUUAGUAGACAGAAGCCUCGGCUAAAGAUUACUAAUGAGAGUGGCGAACGGGUGAGUAACGCGUGAGCAACCUGCCUAUGACAGUGGGAUAGCCUCGGGAAACCGGGAUUAAUACCGCAUAAAAUCGUAGAAACACAUGUUUUAACGGUCAAAGAUUUAUCGGUCAUAGAUGGGCUCGCGUCUGAUUAGCUAGUUGGUGAGAUAACAGCCCACCAAGGCGACGAUCAGUAGCCGGUCUGAGAGGAUGAACGGCCACAUUGGAGCUGAGACACGGUCCAAACUCCUACGGGAGGCAGCAGUGGGGAAUAUUGCACAAUGGGGGAAACCCUGAUGCAGCGACGCCGCGUGAACGAAGAAGGUAUUCGUAUCGUAAAGUUCUGUCCUAUGGGAAGAUAAUGACAGUACCAGAGAAGAAAGCUCCGGCUAAAUACGUG
Molecule: ribosomal RNA, 478 nt
Filed under: uncultured bacterium
Lineage: Bacteria
Description: partial 16S ribosomal RNA
Rfam family: Bacterial small subunit ribosomal RNA
Source: RNAcentral